RNAcentral lists this ribosomal RNA (253 nucleotides) under uncultured bacterium. RNAcentral's name for it is "partial 16S ribosomal RNA". It matches the Rfam family "Bacterial small subunit ribosomal RNA", at positions 524 to 776 of the family's 1533-position model. The record is from RNAcentral.
GACAGAGGGUGCAAACGUUGUUCGGAAUUACUGGGCAUAAAGCGCACGUAGGUGGUCCGCUAAGUCGCGUGUGAAAUCCCUCGGCUCAACCGAGGAAUUGCGGGCGAUACUGGCGGGCUAGAGAUCGGGAGGGGUGAGUGGAACUCCAGGUGGAGCGGUGAAAUGCGUAGAUAUCUGGAGGAACACCGGUGGCGAAAGCGACUCACUGGCCCGACACUGACACUGAGGUGCGAAAGCUAGGGUAGCAAACGGG